RNAcentral lists this ribosomal RNA (420 nucleotides) under uncultured bacterium. RNAcentral describes it as "bacterial SSU rRNA". It matches the Rfam family "Bacterial small subunit ribosomal RNA", at positions 355 to 775 of the family's 1533-position model. The record is from RNAcentral.
UGGGGAAUCUUGCGCAAUGGCCGAAAGGCUGACGCAGCGACGCCGCGUGUGGGAUGAAGCAUUUCGGUGUGUAAACCACUGUUGCCCGGGACGAAUAUCCUUUUUCGAAAGGAUUGACGGUACCGGGUGAGGAAGCACCGGCUAACUCCGUGCCAGCAGCCGCGGUAAUACGGAGGGUGCGAGCGUUGUCCGGAAUCACUGGGCGUAAAGGGCGCGUAGGCGGCGCGGGCAGUCAACGGUGAAAGCUUGGGGCUCAACCCCGAGUCGGCCGUCGAUACUCCCGUGCUGGAGCACUGUAGAGGCAGGUGGAAUUCCGGGUGUAGCGGUGGAAUGCGUAGAGAUCCGGAAGAACACCGGUGGCGAAGGCGGCCUGCUGGGCAGUAGCUGACACUGAUGCGCGACAGCGUGGGGAGCAAACAG